GAUGAACUCUGCCGGCGUGCCUAAUACAUGCAAGUCGAGCGAACGGACGAGGAGCUUGCUUCUAUGAUGUUAGCGGCGGACGGGUGAGUAACACGUGGAUAACCUACCUAUAAGACUGGGAUAACUUCGGGAAACCGGAGCUCAUACCGGAUAAUAUUUUGAACCGCAUGGUUCAAAAGUGAAAGACGGUCUUGCUGUCACUUAUAGAUGGAUCCGCGCUGCAUUAGCUAGUUGGUAAGGUAACGGCUUACCAAGGCAACGAUGCAUAGCCGACCUGAGAGGGUGAUCGGCCACACUGGAACUGAGACACGGUCCAGACUCCUACGGGAGGCAGCAGUAGGGAAUCUUCCGCAAUGGGCGAAAGCCUGACGGAGCAACGCCGCGUGAGUGAUGAAGGUCUUCGGAUCGUAAAACUCUGUUAUUAGGGAAGAACAUAUGUGUAAGUAACUGUGCACAUCUUGACGGUACCUAAUCAGAAAGCCGCGGCUAACUACGUG
This 497-nucleotide ribosomal RNA is filed under the name uncultured bacterium. RNAcentral describes it as "partial 16S ribosomal RNA". It matches the Rfam family "Bacterial small subunit ribosomal RNA", at positions 28 to 507 of the family's 1533-position model. The record is from RNAcentral.